UACGGGAGGCAGCAGGCGCGCAAAUUACCCACUCCCGACUCGGGGAGGUAGUGACGAAAAAUAACAAUACAGGACUCUUUCGAGGCCGUGUAAUUGGAAUGAGUACACUUUAAAUCCUUUAACGAGGAUCCAUUGGANNGC
RNAcentral lists this ribosomal RNA (141 nucleotides) under uncultured bacterium. Its description in RNAcentral is "partial 16S ribosomal RNA". It matches the Rfam family "Eukaryotic small subunit ribosomal RNA", at positions 417 to 556 of the family's 1831-position model. The record is from RNAcentral.